GACGAACGCUGGCGGCGUGCUUAGCACAUGCAAGUCGAACGGAAAGGCCCUGCUUUUGUGGGGUGCUCGAGUGGCGAACGGGUGAGUAACACGUGAGUAACCUGCCCUUGACUUUGGGAUAACUUCAGGAAACUGGGGCUAAUACCGGAUAGGAGCUCCUGCUGCAUGGUGGGGGUUGGAAAGUUUCGGCGGUUGGGGAUGGACUCGCGGCUUAUCAGCUUGUUGGUGGGGUAGUGGCUUACCAAGGCUUUGACGGGUAGCCGGCCUGAGAGGGUGACCGGCCACAUUGGGACUGAGAUACGGCCCAGACUCCUACGGGAGGCAGCAGUGGGGAAUAUUGCACAAUGGGCGGAAGCCUGAUGCAGCAACGCCGCGUGCGGGAUGACGGCCUUCGGGUUGUAAACCGCUUCCGCCUGUGACGAAGCGUGAGUGACGGUAAUGGGUAAAGAAGCACCGGCUAACUACGUG
This 468-nucleotide ribosomal RNA is filed under the name uncultured bacterium. RNAcentral's name for it is "partial 16S ribosomal RNA". It matches the Rfam family "Bacterial small subunit ribosomal RNA", at positions 28 to 507 of the family's 1533-position model. The record is from RNAcentral.